GCCAGAACUGUAGUUGCCACAGA
This 23-nucleotide non-coding RNA is filed under the name Cricetulus griseus (Chinese hamster). Lineage: Eukaryota; Metazoa; Chordata; Mammalia; Rodentia; Cricetidae. The record is from RNAcentral.